RNAcentral lists this small RNA (1351 nucleotides) under Histoplasma capsulatum. RNAcentral describes it as "hypothetical RNA". The record is from RNAcentral. RNAcentral also lists the same sequence under 1 other name. Lineage: Eukaryota; Fungi; Ascomycota; Eurotiomycetes; Onygenales; Ajellomycetaceae.
CUUAUACUCUAUAAAAAUACCAAUCGUCAGAAACUGAUCAUAAUAAGAAAUCCAGGAAAUAAAUCAGUUCAUGCUAUCUACAUCCUUCUCCUAUCAACACCUUCUCUCACCUAGGGCAUCAGAUGCUAGCCGACGACGCAGGCAGCGAUUCCGUUUGGGGUAAUUCGAAUCCUCAACUAUGCUAUCGCUCUUUGGGCAAGGCUCAUUUCUUUAUAUAGCAAACUAUCGAGUUAUAGGCAAUUUGCAUUCCGCCGGAGAGCAACGUCGAUCUUGACAUCAGCAACGGCCAAGGGCUCCCCGACAUUCCUCCCUUCCUUCUUUCUACCAUACCUACAUUGGCCACAUGCAGCUAAUGGAAAAACACUUGCUUUGACAAGGUGUUAACCGUAAUUCGAAAGGGUGGUGUGUUUAACAGUUUGCUUUGUAUCACUACAUUCCCGGGAAACAAUACUCGAGCUGAUCCAAGAGGCUUCCCUGGGCGGAUGCCGGAUAGCCUUAGUUGGCUUGAAAGCAUACUGUACUCAGCAACAGCUUGAUUAUCCAAAUAACAUUACAGCCAACUUAAUGCCUCUAAAGAGAAGGGACCACCAAUUUUACUUAUGCAAACUAAUUCCAUUGGAGGGGGCAGAUUACUUUUUAGCACUGAAAUACCCCAUUCAUGUGACCCUAUGUCAUAUUUGCAUCACUCCCAGGAGGGCUCAGACAAGUGGUCUCCCAAGGUUAAUUUCAUAGUUUGAGGCCUGAGCGCUUGUACUGUACAAGUUUGCGAGUAAGGCGGAGAAAACUUAUCCAUGAAUCUUCUCUGAGACCCCUCUGUUGAUCUACCAACAAGUUGGCCACGAACAGCAAUCCAUGCGCAGCAUGGAUUACUGUGUACUUCCCAGAGAAAGUGUAUAGAUUCUGAUUGACGGGGAAAAUCUACUGUAUUUUUGAUGGUGGCCGAACAGGAUACGUUGGUGUUGUUAACCUCUUAUCUAUUAUCUUGCAUCUGGAUCGCUUUAACUGCUGCGGGAACGUUAUUCGUUUCCUGAUUCUUCAAUAGGUUGUUACUUGUUGACGGUGAGAAACGUGAAUCAGCCUUUUAUGUUCUAUGGGCCAAUAAUCAUACGAGGAAAGCCAACCUGUUAUUCUUACAUUCUGAGAACUUGGGAUGGACUUGACAGGCAUCAACCAAGAUCCAUCCAUGCAUCAUGUUAAACGAGUGCCUGUCGACAUGCCAAACCACACUUCGACCAACCGAAUAGCAUCAACGCCUUGCCACUUCCACCGAGAAAACUGGGUAGGGCGGUGUUCAUUUGGGACUUUCCCCGUGUACGAAUGUGAUCUUUUUAUUUUGGCAUAUUAUCAGCGG